Molecule: transfer RNA, 72 nt
Filed under: Leucoraja circularis (sandy ray)
Lineage: Eukaryota; Metazoa; Chordata; Chondrichthyes; Rajiformes; Rajidae
Description: tRNA-Gln
Rfam family: tRNA
About the family: Transfer RNA (tRNA) molecules are approximately 80 nucleotides in length. Their secondary structure includes four short double-helical elements and three loops (D, anti-codon, and T loops).
Source: RNAcentral
UAGGAAGUAGUAUAAUAGGAAGUACAUAGAGUUUUGAUCUCUAGGGAGUAGGUUCAAGUCCUGUUUUUCUAA